CGAAAGCCUGACGGAGCAACGCCGCGUGUGGGAAGAAGGCUCUUGGGCUGUCAACCACUUUUCUCAGGGAAGAAGAUCUGACGGUACCUGAGGAAUCAGCCUCGGCUAACUCCGUGCCAGCAGCCGCGGUAAUACGGAGGAGGCAAGCGUUAUCCGGAAUCAUUGGGCGUAAAGCGUUCGUAGGCGGCUGUUCAAGUCUGCUGUCAAAGACCGAGGCUCAACCUCGGGUCGGCAGUGGAAACUGGAUAGCUAGAGGUAGGUAGGGGCAAAGGGAAUUCCCGGUGUAGCGGUGAAAUGCGUAGAUAUCGGGAAGAACACCAGAGGCGAAAGCGUUCUGCUGGGCCGCGCCUGACCCUGAGGGACGAAAGCCAGGGGAGCG
This 379-nucleotide ribosomal RNA is filed under the name uncultured cyanobacterium. Its description in RNAcentral is "bacterial SSU rRNA". It matches the Rfam family "Bacterial small subunit ribosomal RNA", at positions 376 to 770 of the family's 1533-position model. Lineage: Bacteria; Bacillati; Cyanobacteriota. The record is from RNAcentral.